GGUGUGACAUUUACAUAGCCCAGGGAAGGCUGGCCACCCUACCCUAAUCUUAUUAUGUAACUGAACUUUCCCCUUGGCCAGGGCCAUCUUGUCUGCUCCUUACUGUACAUGUGGCUGGCAGAGAAGGGAAGGUGGAGCCGCUAUUUUGAACAUGAUUGGCACAACUGCCAGCAUCUAUAUCUGCAGCUUGAUUUUACAGGCUGCUCUUUGUUAGAAAGGAACAUGAUUUGGGGCUACUUUUCAUUAAAAGGAAAACUGUACCGAAGACUUCCAUACCCUCACUAUCUGUGGAAUCCCUGGAAAGAAAUGAAGCUUCACACUCAGAAUAUCACAUUUAGUGAUUUCAGGAGACCAGCAGAAUAGGAAUUAAGCUGGAACUCCUAUACAGUUUAUUUUCUAGGUUUGGGACCUCUGCGUACCUCCUGUGGCUUUAUGGUACCUGGUAUUGUUUCCCCAGACCAUGAGUCUCCAGUGUUGGAGUGCCCACUUCAGAAGUCUGUGUGUUUUGCUUCAUCCUGAGGUAAACACUGCUUAGUAUGUGCAUCCUGGUGGUGGUUGUGAUGGUGGGGACUAGCUCAGCCAUUCUCCCUGUGUGGCUACUGACAGGUAAAAGGAAAUCAGUGUAAGUAACUAGAUUGGGGAGUUAAUGAUGAUAUCCACUUGGACAUACUGUGUGGAGCCUGUUGGGAAUCCAGGUGACAAAUCCAGCCAGAAUAUAAAAA
This 722-nucleotide long non-coding RNA is filed under the name Homo sapiens (human). RNAcentral's name for it is "HSALNT0304832". The record is from RNAcentral. Lineage: Eukaryota; Metazoa; Chordata; Mammalia; Primates; Hominidae.